UAAGUGCCUUUUUCCCAUACAGGUUUCAUAAGGUACAAAACAAGCAGCCUGUACUGAAGAGAGAUUAAACCUGCCCAGGUACCACUCAAAUGAUGGCAGCCUUAAAAAAAGGUUGAGAAGAAUCUAUUGCAAGACCUUGAAUGGGAAGAAGACAACUUUAAGUGUUGCACCCAAGAACUGCAAUGUACCAUUGAUUUACUUGCAUGAAUAUGGCUUGAAGGAUCAAGACUCUAAUUUGACACUGUUGGAGACAUUGGCAUCAUUUGCUUUAGUCUGCUGUAAGAUCUAAUUUUGCUCUGAUUCAGAAGAGAAAAUUUGGAAGACUGAACUCCCUAUAUAGUCACUGGAGAGAGCCCUAGGAGGAAGACGCUAAAAGGAGAACUGAAUGGUCCUUUUUCUCCCAUAAACUGAUGAUACAAUGGAGAUAAAUUUGUUGAUCUAUAAAGGUCCCAAUGACAUCAAACAUCCCCUUCCCAUAAAGCAAAAGUAUAUAGAAAUCUGAGCAGUGUUCCGUGAAGUCAGAAACAUGGUUAAAACUUGGAAGCCUCCUCAAGACAAAUGAUGUCUUAGGUAAGAUGUUUGUAAUUUUUGAUAGCAAAACUUUCCCUUCUAUAGGUUAUUAAUAGCUGUCCUAAGCACUGUUUAGAGUAAUGCUACCAGCUAUAAUGGAAUGAGCAGUAAGUGGAAAGCAUUCAGCUGUGAACAAAUGUGUUAGCAGUGGGACACACAGAUCUCGAUGAAGCAGUUAUCUUUGUGACCUUCGUGUGUCUGUCCCUGAUGUGUGUGAUUUCAAAAGCCCAUCAGAACUAAAUAAAAAAAUGAUU
Dromaius novaehollandiae (emu) is the source of this 824-nucleotide long non-coding RNA. RefSeq lists it as uncharacterized. The transcript is spliced from 3 exons. The record is from RefSeq and is a predicted model, not a curated record. NCBI's taxonomy places the organism in Eukaryota, Metazoa, Chordata, Aves, Casuariiformes, Dromaiidae.